GAUAUGUGUAAAUGUAAGCUAGCUUCAAAGACGUGUAUCUUGUAUGCUUUAACGUAACUGUUAACAGUUAUAUUUGCAGCCGAACUUCAAACAGUUAUAACUGUUCACUGUACGAUACCUUGAAGUAAGUAUAGUUGUCCGCUGUAAGUGGAUUCAGUUAUCAAUAGCUCCUUUAAAAUAGUUUCAAACAAUUAUAACUGUCCCUUGAAAGCUAACUUUAAAUCUGUCCACUGUAAACUCGUUUCUAUACAUACUACAUUCACAAAAUACAACAUACUGGAGGAUGUCACCAAGGUGGGGGCCAGCACUCUGUUCCCAAUACAUUCAUCACGUUGAUAGCAUUACAACUACUUGACCUGAGGUAGCUGAUAUGAGAUAUGAACA
Molecule: long non-coding RNA, 384 nt
Organism: Octopus sinensis (East Asian common octopus)
Lineage: Eukaryota; Metazoa; Mollusca; Cephalopoda; Octopoda; Octopodidae
Exons: 3
Source: RefSeq, a predicted model, not a curated record